AUGUCGUUCGACCUCGAGGACGAACGUGUCACGUCCGUUAUGCCACUGCCGUCCAUGUUGUCCAACCCCAAAGAGGGCAGCAGUUGGCACCUCGCAGAGGUGCAGGGGAGGCUGGGCAUCGUCGUUCGCCGCGGCUCAUCGUUGAAGACGGAGGUGUGGGUCAUGGAGGGCACGACAAGGGGAUACCAUAUCAAGUGGAGCCGCUGGUACAUCGUGCAGAUGAGCAGCAUGCUACGGCGUCUCACGCGGCCAACCUUCGUCCAUGGCGGGCAUGUCCUGACAUGGGGGUGGUGGCGGUGCGGAAAACAAGGAUCUGUCUUGUGUAGGCACACACCGAGCGACGACAUCGCGGAGGCGAAGCGCGGAGUGGUGGAGCUCGGCGAGAGGAACCUGGGGACGGUGGUCGCACGUAUUGAUAUGGCAGACGACGAUCGUCGAACUUAUGGGUACAUCGAAACCAAGGAACCGUUGAGUGUUUACCUGCAUGCUGGAGGGUCUACAUGCCUCAUCAGUUGGGACUGGAAUCCUUAA
Molecule: ribosomal RNA, 531 nt
Filed under: Triticum aestivum (bread wheat)
Lineage: Eukaryota; Viridiplantae; Streptophyta; Magnoliopsida; Poales; Poaceae
Description: partial small subunit ribosomal RNA
Source: RNAcentral